UCGGGAAUUUUGGGCAAUGGGCGAAAGCCUGACCCAGCAACGCCGCGUGAGGGAUGAAGUAUUUCGGUAUGUAAACCUCGAAAGAAUGGGGAGAAUAAAUGACGGUACCAUUUAUAAGCUCCGGCUAACUACGUGCCAGCAGCCGCGGUAAUACGUAGGGAGCAAGCGUUGUUCGGAUUUACUGGGCGUAAAGGGCGCGUAGGCGGCGCGGUAAGUCACUUGUGAAAUCUCUGAGCUUAACUCAGAACGGCCAAAUGAUACUGCUGUGCUAGAGUGCGGAAGAGGCAACCGGAAUUCUUGGUGUAGCGGUGAAAUGCGUAGAUAUCAAGAGGAACACCUGAGGCGAAGGCGGGUUGCUGGGCCGACACUGACGCUGAUGCGCGAAAGCCAGGGGAGCAAACG
RNAcentral lists this ribosomal RNA (402 nucleotides) under uncultured bacterium. Its description in RNAcentral is "bacterial SSU rRNA". It matches the Rfam family "Bacterial small subunit ribosomal RNA", at positions 355 to 774 of the family's 1533-position model. The record is from RNAcentral.